Molecule: transfer RNA, 73 nt
Filed under: Cavia porcellus (domestic guinea pig)
Lineage: Eukaryota; Metazoa; Chordata; Mammalia; Rodentia; Caviidae
Rfam family: tRNA
About the family: Transfer RNA (tRNA) molecules are approximately 80 nucleotides in length. Their secondary structure includes four short double-helical elements and three loops (D, anti-codon, and T loops).
Source: Rfam by way of RNAcentral
GCCCGGCUAGCUCAGUCGGUAGAGCAUGAGACUCUUAAUCUCAGGGUUGUGGGUUCGAGCCCCGCCUCGUGUC